GGACGAUUAGCUCAGUUGGUUAGAGCGCUUGCAUGACACGCAAGAGGUCACUGGUUCAAAUCCAGUAUCGUCCACAA
This 77-nucleotide transfer RNA is filed under the name Candidatus Liptonbacteria bacterium RIFOXYB1_FULL_36_10. RNAcentral's name for it is "tRNA-Val". It matches the Rfam family "tRNA". From Rfam's summary of the family: Transfer RNA (tRNA) molecules are approximately 80 nucleotides in length. Their secondary structure includes four short double-helical elements and three loops (D, anti-codon, and T loops). Further hydrogen bonds mediate the characteristic L-shaped molecular structure. tRNAs have two regions of fundamental functional importance: the anti-codon, which is responsible for specific mRNA codon recognition, and the 3' end, to which the tRNAs corresponding amino acid is attached (by aminoacyl-tRNA synthetases). tRNAs cope with the degeneracy of the genetic code in two manners: having more than one tRNA (with a specific anti-codon) for a particular amino acid; and 'wobble' base-pairing, i.e. permitting non-standard base-pairing at the 3rd anti-codon position. Lineage: Bacteria; Candidatus Liptoniibacteriota. RNAcentral also lists the same sequence under 2 other names. The record is from RNAcentral.